UCGGCUCAAGCCGAUGGAAGUUUGAGGCAAUAACAGGUCUGUGAUGCCCUUAGAUGUUCUGGGCCGCACGCCCGCUACACUGACAGAGCCAGAGAGUACUCCCUUGGCCGGAAGGGCCGGGUAAUCUUGUUAAACUCCGUCGUGCUGGGGAUAGAGCAUUGCAAUUAUUGCUCUUCAACGAGGAAUCCCUAGUAAGCGCAAGUCAUCAGCUUGCGUUGAUUACGUCCCUGCCCUUUGUACACACCGCCCGUCGCUACUACCGAUUGAAUGGCUAAAA
This 277-nucleotide ribosomal RNA is filed under the name Thermothelomyces hinnuleus. RNAcentral describes it as "partial small subunit ribosomal RNA". It matches the Rfam family "Eukaryotic small subunit ribosomal RNA", at positions 1423 to 1702 of the family's 1831-position model. Lineage: Eukaryota; Fungi; Ascomycota; Sordariomycetes; Sordariales; Chaetomiaceae. The record is from RNAcentral.